This 621-nucleotide ribosomal RNA is filed under the name uncultured archaeon. RNAcentral describes it as "bacterial SSU rRNA". It matches the Rfam family "Archaeal small subunit ribosomal RNA", at positions 146 to 774 of the family's 1478-position model. The record is from RNAcentral.
AUAAUACUCCAUAGAUUAGAGACACUGGAAUGUUCUUUAGUCGAAAGUUCUGGCGCCUUAGGAUGGAUCUGCGGUCGAUUAGGUUGUUGUUGGGGUAACGGCCCAACAAGCCUGUAAUCGAUACGGGUUGUGGGAGCAAGAGCCCGGAGAUGGAAUCUGAGACACGAUUCCAGGCCCUACGGGGCGCAGCAGGCGCGAAAACUUUACAAUGCAGGAAACUGUGAUAAGGGAACUCCGAGUGCCCGUAUACGCGGGCUGUCCAGGUGUUUAAAAAUCAUCUGAAGAAAGGGCCGGGCAAGACCGGUGCCAGCCGCCGCGGUAAUACCGGCGGCUCGAGUGGUGGCCACUAUUAUUGGGCUUAAAGCGUCCGUAGCUGGACCGAUAAGUCUCUUGGGAAAUCCGCCGGCUCAACCGGCGGGCGUCUAAGGGAUACUGUUAGUCUAGGGACCGGGAGAGGUGAGAGGUACUCCGGGGGUAGGAGUGAAAUCCUGUAAUCCCCGGGGGACCACCGAUGGCGAAGGCAUCUCACCAGAACGGCUCCGACAGUGAGGGACGAAAGCUGGGGGAGCGAACCGGAUUAGAUACCCGGUAGUCCCAGCCGUAACUAUGCGCGUUAGGUGU